Long non-coding RNA from Onychostoma macrolepis, 3097 nucleotides. RefSeq lists it as uncharacterized. The record is from RefSeq and is a predicted model, not a curated record. Lineage: Eukaryota; Metazoa; Chordata; Actinopteri; Cypriniformes; Cyprinidae. The transcript has 5 exons.
CUGGAGGUGAGGGAUCCCAAUUUGAGACGGUGUCAGAAGGAUCACACUUUAGCUGUGCUUAAUGAUCUGACAUAGCAGAGAACAGGCAGUCUGGGAUGUAUGCACACGGGACAGAGAAAUCAUUUCAAGUGUCAAACGAAGACCGUAAGGAAGGAAGAUAGAAUGUAAAGAGACAAUAGCUUUGCCCCAAGCCAACCCUAAAUGACUAAUUACUCUCUUCAAUCCUGCAUGUACUAUUCUCUCCCAUGAAGGUGAUUUAAUAUAAAUUAUUCAGCUCUUAAUUACUUUUCACAUGGCUCUUACAAACAGCCACACUCAAAAAUACAUUAAUAAUUCAGUUUUUGAGAAGAUCCACAACCCAGAGCCCAUUAUCAAACAGAAAUAACACGGCCAGGCUUAAUAAACACAAAGACAACAGCUGGAGGACAAAGGCCACAUCACUUGGAUGUCACCGCUGGCACUGUAAUAAUCUCAAUAAGAUUAAACGGGUCAAGAACCGAGUAUGAUUCAUAAACCAGGGUCAUAUUUCAGCAAAAUGUUUCACAAAAUCAAAGAAAUAGAAAGAACUAGAGAAAGAAAGACAGAAAGAAAGAUAUUUUGUGUAUCAAGAAUUUCUACAAUAUUUUGUAAAGAAAAGUAUACACCCAUUGUCACAAAAAUUCAUUUUUAUUAUUGUAAUUUUCAAAAAUAAUUACAUCCUAGUAUUUUGCACUUCCACAAAAACACUAAUAAUGUAAGUAUUUUACUGUAAUACAGUUAAAAAUGUAAAAAAAUAAAUCAAAUCUAGGGUUGCAAAGAGUCCAAAAUUUUCUGAAGGUUUCCAAAAAACCUUGGAAAUUUUCCCAAAAUUCUGGAAAGUUUCUGAAAUUUUUCACCCUUUUCCACCCUUUUAGUCAAAUCAUCAUGGACAAUAAAGAGACAUAAACGGCAAACAACUUGAAUUUUCGUAUUUUAAUUAUAAUAACCCAUUUAAUUGCUUUUAUUUUUGUUCACGUUUUCAUUUUUAAUAAUGAACCUAAAGGACCAGCAUAUUGGCUUAUGCAUUUAUUUCCUUAUGAAGAGAACAGAGACUGCGUCAGUGACAGCGGAGUACACUUAAAACAACAAAAUACGCUAGUGCUGGAUAAAAAAAAUAAAAAAUAAAAUAAAACCGAUUUCUCUGUUUUAAUAGAUUCUUAUUUUUAUGAACCAAUAUCGUUUCUUAACUCCCAAUCGAUGCUGUUUUCAUUUGAUGAAUGCACAGUAACGUUAGACAAUCGGCUAAACUUUGUGCGUUGUUACUUUUGAUAUGAAAUGCAGUCUCAGGUUUCAAAUUCUGUCCAUUUUAUUAGGAAAUUCAAGCAAUAAAUACCGUUUUGGCGCUCUUUAAUGUGGCGUGAUAGAUCGCUGUAGACACCUCAGAUCAGGCGAUUCGCAUACUCGCCUGCCUGUGAGUAAUCAAAUACACAGCAAAAGACCUUUAUUUUUGUUCUGGAGACGAUCGCGCGCUCUGCUGCCCCACUGGAGCGCACCCGCCACCAACUGGACAGGGCUGGAAUUACAGUUAUAAAUUACAAUAGAUCACCCUCAGUGUGUGUAAUCUGCCAAAGUGACGGACGGCCUUCAGAUUUUUACGUCACUGCUAAAAAAAUUCCGUCAAUGACGGAGAAUUUUCGGUUAACGCGACCUCUAAUAUGCGCUGAUCAGUUUUGUCCCGUCUGCACAGCGCCGCAUUUCAGUCGCGCGCCUCUAGCGAGAGUGAUCACUAAAAGCGCGCGAGCGCCGCUGUUUAAACUUCAACGGUUCACGGUGUGCUGGCUGCGCUCAGUGCUCGGGAGAACGACGAUUACAUUGGUAAGUGAGAAAAUUAAUUCAUUUUUGCUUAUUUUAAUUACUUUUACAUAAACCCUGGAUAUUUUUAGUUUGCAUAACCUUACAAGUUUCUUUCAAGAAGCUAAAAGAAGAAAGGUGGUUUAUCGCGUCGUCCAGGCCUGCGAAAUUCUCCGCCGGGAGAGUGUAUUGGACCUAUAUGUAUACAAAAAGAUGAAACAAAGUUUCGGUCAAAUCGCCGUCAGACUGCCGUUAUAAACAUGAAUUCAAACCAAGAAGAACAAAGAGAGAAGCUGAUGGGGAUGUUUCCUUUUUUUUUUAUGUAGAUAACUAUGUUCAUCUAUCUCAGAGAGCACUGUUAAAGUUUUAGCAACAUCUUAUCAGAGCUCAAAAGAGGAAGUCAGUGGAAACGUGACCAACCUGCUGCAAAACAAUAACACAAAAGGUCUUGACUCUGGAGUGCAGCAUUACUUGUUUGGUCAUCUACAUUCAGAUGAAAACACCACACUUCUCUCUAAUUCAAGAUGUCAAGCCUACUCAUCGCAAAGAGAGUUAACAUCAGAAUGGAUGUGUCACUGACCAAUAACACAGAGAUGCUAGAAGUAUCUGUUUGCAGUCUACUUUUUGUUCAGUAUGGAGCAUCCAAAAGCCAUCACUCAGUUAAUUUCAAUCAGCACUAUUUAGCCCUUCCUAGUGCUGAAAUUGUCAUGGGUCCUUUGUUUUUAUUCUUUAAAUGCUUAUCUGUAUGUAAAAUUAAUAUUUAAUGCUUAUAAAUAAAUAAAAAAAAAUACUAUAGUUCCCUUUUCAGAAACAUGUGGUUCACAAUCUUUCAUGGGUUACAGAACUGGGGAAAGUUGCAGCAUACAAAAAAAUUUAAAAAAGUCAGACUGCUUGGUUUAUAGGGGAAUGUGGAGUAAAUACUUGACAUUUAUUUAAGGUAAAGGGUAAUGACGUGGUGGUGAGAUGCAAAAUAAGAGUGUCAUUAAUAUACUAUUUGAUGACAAAAUUUUCACAUUCUAAUUUUACUUAUGUAUUUAAUUUUUAUUUUUUAUUUUUGCAAGUUAACAUUCAAUUGUUUUUUUUUUUUUUUUUUGUGGUUUAUAGAAAUCACCAUAUAUUUGUGACUGACAUGUUGGAUGGGUGAGUAAGGUGGAGGGGGUUGAAAAAACUAUAUUUCUAAAAUGGAGAGUGCUAUUUUAGACAGGUAAAAAUAAUAAAGUACAAAUAAAUAAAGAAACAUGGAUUUAUGUUAAUCCCUGUAACUGUUGCACUAUGAAUUGCUGUGUUA